RNAcentral lists this long non-coding RNA (311 nucleotides) under Phoenix dactylifera (date palm). RNAcentral's name for it is "long non-coding RNA (PDAC_LNC017994)". Lineage: Eukaryota; Viridiplantae; Streptophyta; Magnoliopsida; Arecales; Arecaceae. The record is from RNAcentral.
UGAUCUUUAUGCAUCGCAAAAAGAAAAAGAAAUGAAUGGAAAAGAAAUUAACUGGCUGCGGAUUUGCGUUACUCUAUGGGUCAAGAAGUUUUGGAGGCCUUCUUAGGUCCGGCUGCCCUUGUUCUGCGGCUGUGGGUCGCUUAUCAUUUUCACUGUUUGAUAUUUUUUAAGAGUUGGCCACGACUUUGGUUGCUGAGAAAGUCUGAAUAAUAAAAAUUUCUAUUAUGGAAAAUGGAAGGAAAAAAACUAUUGUUUAGUUGCAGUAGAAAGGUCAAGAAAAAAGUUGAAAAUUUUUUCUUGUUUGAUAGAAU